Molecule: ribosomal RNA, 267 nt
Filed under: uncultured bacterium
Lineage: Bacteria
Description: partial 16S ribosomal RNA
Rfam family: Bacterial small subunit ribosomal RNA
Source: RNAcentral
GUCCACGCCGUAAACGAUGAAUGCUAGCCGUUGGCCAGCUUGCUGGUCAGUGGCGCAGUUAACACUUUAAGCAUUCCGCCUGGGGAGUACGGUCGCAAGAUUAAAACUCAAAGGAAUUGACGGGGGCCCCGCACAAGCGGUGGAGCAUGUGGUUUAAUUCGAAGCAACGCGCAGAACCUUACCAGCUCUUGACAUGUCCCGUAUGGUUUCCGGAGACGGAUUCCUUCAGUUCGGCUGGCGGGAACACAGGUGCUGCAUGGCUGUCGU